AGUUUUAUAGAAACUCUGUAUGUUUAUAGCCUUAGAUAUACAAAAAAGAAGCCUUAAAUCUCUCUCUAAAACUCAUCAUCUUCCUCAUUUAUGUUCUUCAAAGAAAACCUCCUCAAAUCCCUCUAAAAACACCACCAUCAUGUUCCUGGUAUCCUAAAUAGUCAAUUCUGGAAAUUUUCGUGAAGUUCUGGGCUCAUUUGAAUCAUUUCUUCUUCAUUAUGUUCAUCGUGUUCUUGAAAUUUCCAGAUUCCGGCGAGAAAUCCAACAUUGAAACGUGUUUUUCUCCCUUGUCUGAGCUCCAAUACCUACGCUUUCACCACCUCUGUUCUUAUAGAAGGGAGGAGAAUCCAUUCCCACCACUGGUUCACCUCCGGCGACCAUCGCUGCCGUGAGCUCCGCCGCAUCUUCAUCUUCUCCGGCGAGCUCUAUUUUGGAAUUUCCUGAACUUGUGUUUUUAGUGGAAGCAACAUGAAUAGGUCAAGGCGGACAAGUAACAAGGAAUACAAGUAAAGGGGGGAGAUGCCAACAACUCAGGAUGGAGGAUAGUAUGAAUAAAUGGGUGUUGGACCCUCCUUAGGUCCUUGUGUGUGUUGUUUGAUUUUAAUGUUUGUCUGAGUUACAACUCUUAUACUUUAUCUAUGAUAGCUGUGAUGGUGUGUGAUUUAUGAGAUGUAGUAGAAGAAGGAAGCGUGGAUAUGUAGAAAAUUCACACCAAAGAUAACCUAGCAGAUGUAAUGACGAAGCCAAUCAACUCUGACAAGUUUGCUUGGUGUUGGUCCUCUCAUGGUCUAUAAAAAUGUAAGCAACAUGAAACUAGUAAGGUAGAGAAAUUUUGCAAACGCACUAAAGUGACUUAAAGUGGGAGAUUGUUAACGAAAGUUGCUAUUAAUUACCACUGCCACAAGAUAACAAUCAUGAAGCAAAGUUGCGAUUGUUGACAAAUUGAUAAAGAUUGACGAGCAAGUAGAUGACAUCAUGCAAAUCAACAAAGACUUAAAGAAUGAUAAAACCACUUUUAUGGCUCUUCAAGAUGUUGAAGGGGGAAGUCUAAAAGCCUAUAAAUAGAGCACACCAUCUUAGUUUCAGAAACAUCCCAACAUCAAGCAAUUCUAAUGAGAAUUGUAAUAGAGAGAAAAGUUGAGAGAAAGAAAUUUAUAUUCUCCUGUGAGGUUCUCCUAGAGAGUGUUCUUCUAUUUUAAGAGAGGGUAUGAUUUGUUCUCUCCUUGUAUUUAGAGAGAAGUGUUGUAAUUUCUUUCACUUAGUGAAACCUUUUCUACCGGUGCCUGUAGUUUUUCCGUUAUCUAUUGAGGGUUUUCCACGUAAAUAUUGUGUGUCAAUUUCCUUCUCCCUCAUCUCUUAUUUUAGUUUUGUGUUAUUAUUCUGCUACUCUGGUACCCAACACUUGUUGAUAUUAUUAGUAGGGACUUUAUUCGAGUUGGAGUCUCUUUGAGGGUAUAACCUCAUUUUCUUUUUGUUUAGCUAUUGUACCAAUAAUAUAUAUAUAUAUAUAUUAAAAUUUAUUUUUCUAGAUGAGAUCUUUGAUUUUGAACUCGACUAUUUUUCUCUUCGCUCAAGCUUGGAGCACGACACGCACUUCAAAUUCAUAUUUUCAUGCUAUUGCCCAGAACUGUAAUAUGUUUUUUUUUGUCAAUGGUUAAUGUUGUCAUUAAACCAACAAGGUGGAAAUGGAGCUUUGUGGCUCCGAACUGUACAAGCAGUGAUAGCCCAAGGCUAGGAACACAAACACAGAUCAACAAACAGCCAAGCUAUUAGAAAAGAGACAUUAAAGAGCAAGCUUGCUAGUUGAAACACUUAAAGCUCUAAAGUCCCACAAGGACAUGCUUUGAACAGAGAAAGACUACUGGUGGUACCUAACAAGCCAAAAACGCAGCUAGCAUUAAACUCAAAUAUCUACCAAGGCUCUUAUCCAAUUCUGUUAACAAGGUGGUUGGAUAAUGGCACAAAAAAAAAACCAUACCACACACAUUAGAAACCACAUAAGAAGAUGGGCCACUAAACGCUAAGCUAAACUGAAGUCAGAAAGAGCUUCAACACUCCCCAGGUCUGGAAGGUGGACGAAGUCACGAACCAGGGGUUGAAGGUGGGGAUAGAUCCAUCGGGGACCCGCACGGGAGAGAUCUAUGUCCUUGCUUAGAGCAAACUGAAUAGCUUGUGGGGGGUUCCAUACCCAGGAGUUGUGGAUUAUGUUAUCCUUACUCAACUUUGCCACUAGAUGUGCCACAACAUUCCCUUCACGAGGAGUCCAUAAGAAGCCAGAAGUCUAGAAGACUUGUCUCAUGACUUUUAUGUCUUCUACAAUGUUUCUAAUCUCACAUUGUUCUUUAAUUCCUCUACAAGGGCAUGAACCAGCUGGAGCGAAUCCGAUUCAAACAGGACUUUAGUGCACCCCAUGCUCUGAGCAAAAGCUACAACAUUGCGCAUGAUUACUGCUUCUGCCAUCAAGGGGGAUUUUGCAUAGAAAUUCCUGGUGUAACACCCCAUUUUCCGAUUAGUAGAAUAUUUAUUAAUUUAUUUUAAUUAUUAUUAGGUUAUAUAGUGAUUUGAAUAAAUAGGUGAUUUUACUAUAUAAUAAGGUGAUUAUGAGAUUUUAUUAUAUAAUAAGGCGAUUAAGUGAAGUUAUUAGAUAAUUAAGUGAGUAGUUGGGAGUGAGGUCCAUUUUAAGACUAUUUUAGGGUUAGGAGUGAAAUAGAAAGAGUGAAAUCAGAAUUUGAGAAUUGGAGGAGUUAGCAGAGCAGAAGAAAAGAAGCAUGAAAGAGAGAAGGGGAGAAAAGAGAAGAAAACCUAGAAUUUGAUCUUCAAAAGGUAAGGGUUUGAAUUCAUGUUCUUUGGAUUGGUAUGAUAGUGGAUAAUGAUAGAAAGCCUGAUUUAGGAACCCUAGGAUGCAAUUUUUUCUAAACUGAAGGUGGAUAGUUGAAUAUAGGGUUAUGAAUUGUGGGUGGAAGAGAGGGGGUAGCGCGUCGCGCAUGAGGCUGCAGAAAUUUACGAGCUCUAGAACCCUAUUUUGAGCUGUGUUAAUGACCGAAUUUGAAACAGUAGUCUUCAUAAAAGUUGUAGCCCUUUCUGUUAUAAAACUUUUGCCGCUGUUUUCACGUCAUUCCGACGUCGAUAGCUCGAGUUAUAUGCGUAUUAGUGAGGAUAGGCUAAGUUGUCUCGUUUCUCACGAACUGCUGUUAGUGUUAGAUUUUUCAUGAAUUUUGUACUUUGAAUUUCGACUUGAAAAUUUAAAGAGAUUUAGAAAACGUGUAUAGGAAAUCAUGUUUAAAAUAUUGGAUUUUUUCAGAGUGUAUUUGAGGUAUUUAAAAUUUCGCCUAGUUUGCUGUACAAUUUAUAACCGUUUUGAAUAAAAUUAGUCAUUUUAGGUGCAAAUGUUGUUUUCGAAAAAAGAUGUGGUGCGCGCGCAUGGUGAUACGCAAGGCGCAGUGGCGCGCGGCCAUGGCGAGGGUUGCGCGCGAUGGAGGUGGCGCAUGUCGGUAGUGGUGCGCGCGGUAGCGCGCGCAUGAGAAGGAUGGUGCAAGGAGAUGACAAGUUUUUGGGGAAAAUUAGGAAGAAUCCAAUUUUUUUAUAAUAGUUGCAGAACCUGUUAUAUAUGAAUUAUAUUUAAUUUACAUAUGUUUAAUAGUUCAUUAUAUGAUGUUAUUUCUGAAUUGAUGUUAUGUGUUAAGUUGUUAAGUUACUGUGAUUGCAAGUUGUGUGAUUGAUAACAUGUAAGUGUGUGUUUUGUGAAAUUGGAGAUGAUUUGAAUUGUUGAGAUGGUGAUGAAUAUGCUAAAAUAAUUAAGACUUGGAGAUGGUCUUAAUAUGCAUAUGCUAGUUGAGUUUUGCACAAUACACUGCAUAGUUGUCAAGAGGCAAUGUUUGCUAGUUCUCGUGGAGGCUAGUGACUUGUCCCAAAACUGGAGCGGUUUUGAAAGCCUAGAGCGAGGGCUUGAUUGGUGGUUAUCUGUCUGGAGUGGACGCAGUGAUACCGCUAAGGAUAACAACUUUGGUACCAAAGACAUUUACACGGGUCUCACUUGAGUCAUAUGUGUUAGGGAGUUGUUGGUGAUAAUUAAUGAUAAUUGUGAUAUUUUUUUGGGAUUUGAUGUUGUGGUAAUUGGAUACAAUAAUAUUUGCUUACUUGAUGCUAUGAAUUAUUGAGUAUUGUCAUAACUGUGAGAUUGAUUGAUUAUAUUAAAUUACCUAAUUUAUUACUCCCUCCGUUCCUAAAUAUAAGACCUAUUCCAAAAAAUUGCGCUUAUUAAGAAAACACUUAAUGUGACUAAUUAGUGUAUUGGUUUUUUAAAAAUGCAUACAUUCUUCCCUAUUUACCCUUUGUCAUUUUCUCUCACUAAUAAUCAUUGCAUUCAUAGUUAGUUGGAAUAGUAGUAAUUAAUGGUAGGUGGUAACUUUGGAAUUGAAAACAUACAAUUAAUGUGAGGGGUGAAUAUGAAAGAGUACAAAACCUUUUACUAGAUUUUUGUAAGAGGUCUUAUAUUUAGGAACAUGAAAAUUUUGAAACUAGGUCUUAUAAUUAGGAACGGAGGGAGUAUUUGUUAGUGGAGUGUGAAGAAUUUAUGUGGAACAUAGAUAAACUUUUACAUUAUUUAUUAUUAUGCUUAUCCACAUGAUAUGUGUUCUCACCCUUCUGUUGGAAUGAUGUUCUAUGCGACAUCGCUCAGGUACUGGGGAUAGUGGAGUUUCUCGCGAGGGUUAGUUGAAGGAGCUAAUCUUUCAUUUAUGGUUUAGUUAGGGGAGUCAUGCUCUGUUAUGUAACACGGGGAAACGUUUAGUAUUGUACCUGAAUGUUAUGAGAUAAUUUAUGAACUCUCUUUAUUUAUUUUUGGAUUAUGUUAAAUUUUGGAGUUGAAAUAAAUCCGUUGUGCUAUGCAUAUGAUGUUGAGACAUUAAAGUUGGAAAAUUUAUAUAUUUAUUAUGAGCAUGACAGGUGUUUUGAGUUAUGUUUCUGGAGAAUAAAUGUGACACCCUCUAUGUUAUGCAUUUUACUCUGAUUUAAGCUAUAAUAUUUAUACGGGGUUUAGAGGGUGUUACACCUAGUGUGGCCCGUCAACAGGUAACCAUCAUGAUCCCUGAGAAUAAUACUUCCUACUGCUUGUUCAUUGGGUUCUUGAAAGUAGCAUCCAAAUUACACUUGAUAAAACCCUCUGGUGGUCUCUUCCAAUGGGUACUUUGUCCUCUUGUUGUCUUUGGAUGAGGCACGCGGUGGCUAGUGGCUGCUGCUACUUGCUGAUAUUCUUGUUGCGCAAUGUGAGCUGCAAUGAUGACUUGCAUAGGUACCAAGAGGGAGUUAUAAAACACGACAUUAAUGCGAGCUUUCCAAAUCUCCCAUAAAAGGAAACCCAGAGAUGAGAAAGCAUGAGCCACUUGGUCCUUAUCCUGGCCAAAUUGAGAGAUCAUAUGAGAGAGCCAAGAUCGCAUAGACAAUUCUGGAUUAGUGCUAGGGUUGAUUUGCAAAAAGGAACCAAACCACACUGGUCUAGUCCAAUUGCACUACAAGAGAGCGUGGGCUGCCGAUUCAUCUUUGCUAUGGCAAAUGGGACAGAUUGGGUCCCUUGUGAUAUGUCUUUGAACAAUGUUACUCCUAACGACGAUCGCAUUGUUGAAAACUGACCAGAAAAAAUGUUUAAUUUUAUGGGGAAGAGAGGCACCCCAAAUAUGCUUCCACAACAGGUUGUGCGAAUCCAUCCUAGAUGAGAGGCCAUCAUACGAGGAUGAGAGCUCUUAAUAGCUACAAAGUAGCUACACUCCUUGCUUGUUGAAAGACCAGAUUAGGGAGUCCUUUUGUUGUGUCCAACUAAUGGGGGUAUUAAGGACUUCGUAGACUCUAUGGUUAGGAAUGAUCUGCCAAAUUUUCUCAGUGUCCCACUUUCUGUCCUCAGGCUUCAUUAACUCUUCAACCAACAUUUCCUGAUGAGAUUGGCCAGCCCCUAGAAUGACACCCGAGCUGGUCCAUUUGUGUUUCCAGAUGUCAACGCUUUUUCCAUCCCCUAUAAGUCAGAGCCCAUGUUUAAGGAGGAAGUCUCUACCAUGGAGUAGGCUUCCCCACCCCCCACGAAGAUGCUCUUCUCCUAUUUAUCCUUAGGAAAGAGUCAUUAGGAAAAUACAGUGCCUUUAAGGAUUUAACCCAUAUCGAAUUUGGAUUUUCCAAGUCUCUCCAAGCUUAUUUUGCUAACAGGGCCGUGUUCAUGAGUUCAAAGUCCCUGAAACUCAUACCACCAAUCGACUUUGCAUUGAAAAGCACUUAUCUACCUAUUUUUGCCUUCUCUUUGGGCUUCAUCCAAUUUUGUCUUCUAAUAUUUGUAGUCCAUUUGUUUCUGUUUUUUUUUUUCGUUCAAAAAACAGGUGAUUGAAUUAUAUAAGUGAGAAGAUAUUAUUAAAUGUAACUUUCAUUCCCAUGAGAAUAGAAGAUACCUAUCACAAUCCUCUUUUUCAAUGUCCCGCAUUUUUAUAUUUUGCAAUCUUAAAUGUGGUGCGUAACUAACUUUUUAUUACAUAUUGCAAACUUAAAUGUAGAAUAUUUGAAUUGUGAGAGUGAGUGUGGCGAUAACAUGAAUAAAUUUCUCUGAUGCCAGAAAGUUGGACAUGAAGUCAUGAACUAUUCAGUCACACCAAAUCAUUCCUACACAAGUCUUUUUUUGGUAUAACGGAAAGAUAAAUUACACCAUCCAGGGAUUGAUCCCUGAAUAUUCCUACACAAGUCUUGAAGUACUGUAAUCGUGAAAAAGGUUAAUGAAUGACAUCUAUCUAUCUAUACUAUAUAUAAAAGCAGAGUUUCUGCAGUCUUGAGGGCAAGCUGGUCAUUCAAUAAUCUAUUGCACUACAACCUAAUUUUCAGCAUGGGUAUUUUAGUAAAAAUCCACAUAAUUUUUCAAAGAUUCAGUCCUAGCCGUUGAUAACUUUGUGGUAACUCUUCAGCUUCAGGAGAAAAGUCAGUUUCAUAGUAAUCUCAUUGUCUUUUGGCAUUCCAAAAUGAAUUCACUAAGCUCAAUUUUUUAGAACCUUUGAAGAGGCCUUCAAUCUUCUUCAGUUUUUUAGACCUUCAAUCUUCUUUAAACCUUAAACUACGAGUAUAAAUACCCCUUUGCUCCAUACUAUUUUUUGUGGUUUUCUUACCUUUAUUUUGCUUCUUAUUUGGUUUAAAUUAGAUCAAUCAUUGACCCUUCAAGCUUGAUCAAGCUUCCAAAUGGUGAAUGUUCUUCCAUGUUCCAAUUGUGCGAGUGGAGAAGAGGACAAAUGAGUGUGUUAUGAGGAAACAAGCAAAGCGAGACAAUUGUGUAAAGAAAUAAUUAAUAAGUUUGUAUUUUUUCCUUUAAAAUGUAGUUUUCCUUAAACAUUCAUGCUUGAAUUUACAAAUUGCUAUUUUGUUGGGAAAUGACUCAACUUACACCUUUUUUGGCAUUUUGUUGGACGAGGACUCUACUUGCACCAUUUUUUGCAUGGGUUUGAAACACAAAAAUAAGAAUUUGUGUUUGCAAUUUGGUUUAAAUAACCAAGAUGAAGGAUUCUUGCUUCCAUAGUUGAACAACUUGGAAGGCAAACUUUAUUGACUAGGAAAAUGCACCCUUGAAGGAUAGUUGUUGCAACAAUAAUGAUACGUGUGAUGAGGAUGAUCAAGCUUCCAAAUCAUGAUUGUUAUCUUUACCUGAUGUUGUAUCUAUUCCGGCUUUACUCUUCUUAUACUUUUUUUAUCCUUAAAAAUUAAUAUCAUUUUGUCCCAUCCAUAUAUUCUUCUAUACUUGACAAGAGUUUGAGUUAAAUAUUUCAAAUGAUUUGUUCUAUCGGUACCAGAAAAGAAGGAGGGAUAUCCAACUUUAAUAGAG
This is a long non-coding RNA of Lotus japonicus, 7837 nucleotides long. RefSeq lists it as uncharacterized. The transcript is spliced from 3 exons. The record is from RefSeq and is a predicted model, not a curated record. NCBI's taxonomy places the organism in Eukaryota, Viridiplantae, Streptophyta, Magnoliopsida, Fabales, Fabaceae.